This 755-nucleotide long non-coding RNA is filed under the name Mustela putorius furo (domestic ferret). RNAcentral's name for it is "lncRNA (ENSMPUG00000026715.1)". Lineage: Eukaryota; Metazoa; Chordata; Mammalia; Carnivora; Mustelidae. The record is from RNAcentral.
AUGUGGAAUAAACUGAUGCGGCUCAGAAGCGACGCCGGUGACAGAGCACUGAAGACGGUGUCUUUAUUAGCAGGAAGGCUGCGAAGGGAGAUAAAGCAGGGGCGCACGGCGGAGGACAAACAGCUCAGCAUCCAGCAAACCUCAACAUGUUUCUUUUUUUGUUUUCAAGACGGGUUGCCAUUUCCUCCGCGACGCUUGUUUAUGAACGCGCUGACUCACCUCGAGGCCAGCGCCCGGCUCCCCUGCCCGAGAGAUGGGCUUGCACAUCUGCCAAGGGGACUCGGGGCGAGAGAUAACGGGCGGCGACAACAAGUCUUCCUCAGUCUGCCGGCCAAAAGCACUUUUGGCACUGGGUGUGUUUGGGGCGGGGGGGAGGAGUGUGCUGAGAAUAACUUAUCGUCAGUGCCCCGAAAGCUCUGAAGUUCUGGAAGCCCGGAGUGGUUGUUUGCCAGACAGAGAUAAUGGACAGGAUGCGACUGAGAGCCAGAGGCCCCGGGGAAGUCAGGCUACACCUGGCAGCCGCUGGAAAGGAAAAGGGGAUGAAGCAGCCGGUGAGCACAUGGUUUCCUGGUUGCCCAGUCCUUGCUGUCAACACGAGCCAACGGUCUCAAGUUAGCCCAAAGGACUGACUUCUUAUCACUGAGCUGGGUUAAAAACAAAAACAAAAACAAAACAAACUGUAAUGCGUUGUGUUGCAAAGAGCAAUUUCCAGAGAUGUGAUUUAAAAAAAAAUAAAUUAAUGCAAGCAACUCAUC